GGGAUUUGUGGAUUUGCAAGAAGUGUACAGAAAUAUAUUUUUGAAAAAUGAGCAAAGGCACCCAUUUAACAAAGGAUGAUUUUAGAAGCAUCUAGGAAUUGGUUUCACUGGAUUUGGAGUUGAGAUGAUUUUCCUAUGAAUUUGCAAAGUUGGCUAUAUAUAAAGAAAUAGACCAUUAUUUGAGGUGAUACAGAAAGUAUUAGCAAAAAUGUUCAAAAACUAAGUUUUGAACUUAUAGACAUCUAGGAUUUUGAAUCAUGGAAUUUGGAUAAAAAAUGGGCUCUCUGUGAUUUUCUAAAGUUUAUCACAGAAAUAGAAAAAUGGGAUUUUGAUACAUAUUUGUGAAGGAAAUGAUUCUGGAAAAAUGUGCAAAUAGCACCAUGUGAUAGGGAAUGAUUUUAGAAACUACUAGAAAUUUGAAUCAUUGGAUUUGGAGCUCUGUUGGAUUAUUUAUGGAUUUUUGAAGCUGACAUGAAAAAGAAAAAAAAGGAAAUAAGGCUUUAACCUUAUCCUGCGCAGGAGGCAACAGAUAGACCGUGGGCCGGCCCAGCGCGCGGGUGCACGCGCGCGCGCCAGGUUCAAACCUGACGGGCGGGGCCAAGGCGUUAGGGCGAGGGGCUGACGGGCGGGCCCCACGGCGGCCGUCGUCAACCCUAGGCCAGAGGGGACGGCGAGCUCACCGGCGACGGCGUAGGCCACGGCAAGGUCGGGCGAGGGCAUGGCUGGACUCAGCGCUGCGUCGCCGAUCGGGUGGAGGUGGCGGGCGUCACCGGAGCUACCUGGUUCGCCGGCGGCGAGGUCUCGCGGCGGAGGAGCUUCGGGCGUCGACGGCUCCGGCCGUUUCCGGCUGCAAACGAGGCGGGGAAGAGAGGGGAAACGAUCAGGGAGGUGAGGGGAGUCCAGAUCGAGAGAGAGGAGGGGCGGAGGGAGCCCAUACCCUAAGAUCGACAGCGACCCGAGGCGGCGGAGCUCCAGUUGAUCCCGAGCACAGAGGCUCUCCGGGGGUGAUUGGGUGGUGCAGGCGUGCUUCUGGGGUGUGAGAAGGAGGCGAAUGCCACUGGAGCAGCCCGGGGCGAGCUUAAAUAGCCACACGGUGGUCCACCGUGGACCUGUGCGCCGGCGAGCUCGUUGCCGUCGCCACGGGUCACGGGGGCCUGUUUGGUUGUGUCUGGGGUGUUCAUGGGGGUCAACUACGCCCAGGGGAAGAAGAGAGAGAGGGAGCAGGGGGCCAGAGGCACCGCGCGUGUGAGCCGUGCCAUUAGCGCACUCGGGCGACCUCUGUUCGCUAGCGCGGAGGCGCGGGGAGGAGGAGAGAGGAGGGGGCCGACCGCGUAGCGUGUUGCGGACGCCGAGGCGCAUCGGCGGGCGCGCGGGGGAGGCCCGAGGUGGCCGAAGCUGCUUGGCAGGCGGCGGCUACAGUGCGGGAGCGCACUGUAGCGCGCUCCAGAGCGUGCAUAUGGCCGGCAUGGCCAUUUUUCCAGCGCUCUGGGCUUGGCCUCUAGUGUCUGGGGGCUCUAGGGGGAAGUAAACAAAUGGGGAGGGGCAUUGGAUGCCCUGGAUGGCCACUGGAGGGAGGAGGGAGGUGAGGAAGAGAGGGAAAGGGGCUGUCCAGUGGGGUAAAUGAGGUGGUUUCACCCCUCAAUCAUUGAGCUGAGGUAUAGCCAUUGUUACUGGAGGUGAAAGGGGGCUAGGAGGAGUUGUGGUAAAAAGUAGAGGCCAUGGAGAAGAGUGGAAGAGAUCAAAAUGGCAUUUUGGUAAAGUGUUAGAAGGUGUUUGAUAAUGGUUUGGGCAAGAAAAUUAAUUCCACUUGCCAUGAGAACUAACAGGAUGGAAUGUCACAUAGAAUUAGGGUGUUCCACCAAGUUUGAGCUCACUUGGGCAAAGUAGCCAAUGUAACUUUGGUGAACCCUAGAAAUCAGCAGAAAUGGCUUUGCCAAGAUUUAGUCAUGCAAAUCUAUUCUCCUUGAUGCACCACUUGGUUUAGUGCCAUCGUUUGAGGAUUUGAACAUGUCCACAAAAGUUAAGAUCAAAAGGAGAAAGUUGCCAAUGUAGAGUUGUUCAAAUUUCGUUCUGGUCAGAGAGGGUUUUGGGGCACUUUGAUCAAUAUAACUUGUUCUCCAACUUGUGCCACUUGGUCUAGAUGAAUAAUUAGACCAUUGGAGAAUGUUCACAAGGUUUGAGAAUAUUUGGACAUGUUUGGCAAUGUAAAGUUGCUCAAACUUUAAAAUGGACAGAAAUGGUUUUGAGAGGAUUUGAUGAUGUUAUCUUGUUCUCCAAGACAUGAUACUUGGUAAGAUCACCAAAUAUGUCAUAUGUGACAUGAUAGAAUUUUCUUGGAAUUUUUGGGGAAUAUUUCCUUUGUAAAUAUUUCAAAAGCUUGGAAUAUCCAGAAAGCGUUUUUGAGGUAUUUGACCAAUAUUUUGAACAGGACCAUGUGUUGAAACUCUUAUAUAUGGACAAUAUAUUUCCUAUGAGUUUCCCUAAAUUUUGUCAAAUAUUUUUGAAGCAAUAAAAUAAUUUUAACCUAUUUAAGACCAUUUCUGGCCUUAAGAAAAAGCCUUUAAAUAAAAUAAUAAAAUAACUUUUAAAAUUAUAUUUUUGUGGUUUAUGGGAGUCCUACAUCUAAUAGGUUUCAAAUAUAUUUUUGGAAAUAUUUUCCACACCUCAAAUUAAGUACUUGCAGUGCAAAUCUCAAUUCAAGUAUUUUUGGAAAACUAAUUUUAGAAAAUACUUUUUGGCCAAAUUAUUUUUGUAAGAAAAUACUAUAUUGCUCUAUGCACAUGGCAUGAUCAUUGGGAAAAGGUUUUGGAUCAAGGAGAUGAUGUAUAGGAGUUGGAGGAUUUAUUUGAUUUUUAGAGCACUUGCAAACAGUAAACAAAAAUCCAAUCAAGCAAAGUCCAAAACACUCAAAAGUUUUUGUCAAAACACAUUUUAUCAUGAUUUAUUAGCUUAAGUGUUGUGGCAUGAAAAUCAGGUUGUGACAGACCUACCCCCCUUACAAGAAUCUCGUCCCUGUGAUUCCCAGACUAGGCGCGGAAAGGAGUAUGGAAACUUGGAUCUGGGGUAGUCUUCAAGUCCUCAUGUCGCUUCUGCUUCCGUGUAAUGCUCCAUUGAGCUUGAAGUACUUGAUGGUGUGGCUUCGUGUAUGACACUCUUCUUGAUCCAGAUUGCUAGUGGGUAGCUCGCGGUAGGUUAGAUUGGGCUAGGGGUCGAUGGCUCGGUGGUUAAUGUCCUUAUUAGUGAUCGGGCUAGCUAGGAAGUUGGAAACACUUCCGGGGUUGUGAUGCAUGGAAAGCAUUGUGCACAUCAGGUAACUCGGGUGGCAGCUCUAGCUGGUAACUGUCUACUCUUCGUCUUGAAGUGAUCUCAGAGGGGGCCGAUAAAUCUUGGUGUGAUCUUCCCUUUGACAUGGAAAUGCUUGGUUCCUUCGAGAGAAGUGGUUUGCAGAUAUGCCUGGUCUUUGAUGCGGAGGUAUACUUCUUGAAGAUGGUGGUUGGUGUAGUUCUUCCUCCUACACAUGACGAUCUUCAGAUGUUCCUUGACCAGCUCAAUGAUUCUUCUUCCGUCUUCGGGUAGACAAGUACGUCAUCAAAGAAAGGUGACAACUAACUUUUCCAAGCACUCCAUGAAGUCUAUGGGGUACGUAAAGUGGGCUGAGGCAUUGGGGAUGGUCACGGUUGAGCAUUGGCCAAGGUCUUAUCGAUCUAGAGCCAAAGCCCGAGGUCAAGAUCCGACCAUGUUGUGGCUUGGCAAGGCUUAAGGGUUUCAAGGAUUCUAGUAUGCGAGCGAACGUUUGUCACCUUUAUCCUUGAGCACGGUUCCUGAGAUGCCAAUUGUUCUAUCUAGUCCUUUAAACAAAUCACACCAUAUCACUGAUAGUAUCAUUUUGCGUAGGUCAACUCCAAUCAUCGCUGAUGUGAUUCAUAUCCUCAUGGCUCCCGAGAGGAGGUCUAACAAAAUCAUGUAUGUCUACAAUCCCCAAACUCAUAUGUAUGGCUACCCCUAAAAAUCCAUGGGUAGAGCAUAUAAGCUGCUAAGCUUGAACGUGACAAUCCAAGUGCUCAACCUGUUCUUCCAAGGUCUAAGGUAAAGCACCUCUAUCCUAAAGAAACACGUCGUAAGCCACUCCAAGAUCUUGUUUCCUUCCUAUGAAUCAACUCCAACAACCCGUUAACUUCCAUUAAUCACUACAUAAUCUAUUAAUUCUACAAAUCCAACGCCUAUGCUGGUGUUCCACAUGAUCUCCUAAAGUCCUUAUAAUCCCCAAAUACUUGAAAAGGCUAUCUCUAAUAUAGUCAGUCCACCAAUUUCCAUUAUUAUGAUCUAGUAAUACUCCAAGGUCAAGCUCAUCAAGAUGCCUAAAUAAACUCCGACAAUUAGUCCAAUCUCCUAGUUUAUUGUCAUCCGAGAAACAUGGUAUCAUGAUCGAGAUCAUCAGUCUAAAUCCACUUUACUCCGAACCAUGUAGACAUACUCAACAUCUAUAUUCAACUAGAAUCACCUGCUUAAAUCCAAAUCUCUUGUCCAACGAGAAUUCCUACAUGUUCCCCAAGUCAUUUACGUAAUAUCAACUGUCUCCCAACAAUAUCCCAUGCCUAAGUUAAAUCCAAAUACUUCCAAGAAUUCCAGCUUGCGAUCAUAAUUGUCCUAUAAAUCCAAUUUACUCCGGGGUAAUGAAAGCUAUGCUACUCUAUAAUCAUGAUCCCACCAAGUUCAUCUACCAACACGGUAGCCUUAUAAUCCACCAAAUAGACUCAUAUAAUUCCUCAAGUCAUUGAUAUAAACUCAUCAAGUCAUUUGUCCUCUAUUCCUAUACCCUUAAAUUGGUCCUUCCUAUGGCAUCGUCAGUUUUGGUGCUAUCUUAGGAUGAUAAUGUGCUCAUUCACUAUGUCCACUAGUUCCAUAAUGAACCAAGUGAUAAGCAAGGUUACGGAGGCUUAACAGGUUCUCUGGCAAUUCCGUAGGUUAAGCUCAUGGUUAAGGUUUUGAGCUGGGGUAUCUCGUGAAGCCUCGAAGGGUCUAGGAAUGGGUCUCUAAUCUUUAGGGGAAACCAUAACUCUAAGGGGUUGCACUUGGUCGAGGAGGUUGUAGCAAAAGUCUUCAGUGCAUGUUGGUCGCCGAGGUGGAAUCCUUGGUGCAUAUUGUCUUGCUUGUCUUUAGUUGAGGAAAGAGAUGAGAGGGAAAAGUAGCAUAGAGGAGGGGAAUGCCUAAAGGGGGUUCUAUAGUGCUAGUGCAAACAACAGGUGCAAAAAGGGCCAAACAAAAGAAGCAAGGUAAGGAAGGUGAUAUAGUCGCAUACUUGUCGCCUAGGGCAAAAGUGCGACCUAUAUCAAAACACAAACAAAUAAAAACAAGCAACACACAAUCAUGGUUCUAUUCGAACUAUCAUACGGCUCGAUUGCGCAUAGGGGGUACACGAAUCAUCCUACCCUAGGGGUUCUCAGACUCAGUAGUCGUGCCUUGUGCCUCAUGCAGUCUUCUGAGUUUUCCUCAGGUGUUGCUACGUCUCUUGUUUGAUGAAACUAUCUGGGUUGGGCCUGAAGAAUCUUCGACAACUUCUUGCAUGUUGAAGUGAUGGGGUGAAGGUGGCUCCUCAUAACUGGCAUUGACUUGAUCUUCUGUUGUCUUCUUAAUCAUGACGAUCACUUUUGGCUUUUUAAGGUGUUGGCGGUUCCAGGUGGCACUCCUUUAUGCAAUGACAUUAACAAGGCAUAAUAGAGGCCCAAUUUGUCAGACACAUUGUUGACAAUAUCGUCACCGAGAGCAGGGGAUGAAGAGAACCAUUUUCCUGCUCACCAUAGUGAGGCAGACCAAAUGGCUAGGUUCUCAUCCACCAGUGGUUGCCGAUACAACAACGGUAGUGACAGGGUUACCCUAUUAGCGAUGUAUAUCAUGAUCUUGCAUAACCUAUGCCCUGAUCGUCGUAGGCUAAGGUUGCAUCCUCUUGGGGCAGUGUCAAGGGUGUCACCAUCUCCUAGGUCUUCAGGUCCUCAUUCCUCGAGGAUGCAUCUUCUGUUGGUAUUGUCUUGUUGUGAUGUCGCCAAUCUUGUGUUCAGGAGAUGUGGGUGAAUGUCUGGCAAGGCAUCUUCCUUCUUGAUUAUCCACGAGGAUUACAAGGAAUCCAGUGGUUAGGGGCAUAAGGGUUCUAGCGACCAUUAAAUUUUGAAGGGGAAGAGGAAAGUAUAUCUUAGUUUUCGAAAAACUCAGAAGGGGAAGAGAAGUAUAGAUAGUUUUGAAAACUAGUAGUAGUUUUGGAAAUAGUUUUACCCUAACUAACGACCAUGCUAACUAAGGCUUCCUACAGUCAGGAUGGCUCUGAUACCAGCUCUGUGGGGACCCCGACUCAUAAGUCGUGAUCACCGAAUGCACGUGUCCAGUGAUCCCAGAGAUCAAUGCUCACUGAACACACAGAAGCUGAAUAACAAGAGUCUUACAUCCAUACAUACCGUUUUACACAAGUAGGACCAUUAUGGUCGAGUCUUGAGUAUAACAUCGCAGCGGAAAUCUUCGUCAAUAACUUGGACCCAUGCCAUCUGCCUUAACCCUACAGGCAUUCUGACUGGGAAGCAUCCUAGCUCGCAUGUUCGUCACCGAAGUAUUCUUCAUCACAUCCUGUUCUUUCAUGCCUGGCCAAUAAAAUAACCAGUGGCAAGCCAAUGAGUACUUUGAAUGUACUCUCAAGCAACCCAUGUUUUUGGUUCAAGAUACAACAAUGCAUGAUAUAGGUAAAUUUUUGCAGAAAGCUAGUGUUGAGUGCAAUGACAUGUUCAACAACUUUUAAGGGAUGCAUCAAGAGAAUUCAAGUAACCAUGAGGACAGGUUACCGAUAUCAACAUAAAUAGAGUGGGCACCAACCCAACUGAAUCGUGUCAAGUCCCAUGACUUGACCCAAGUCAUUUUAUCAACACACACACACGGUUUGUAAACAAGUGGACGUAGCCCAAGAGCGGUUACCCAACUUUCCUUGACCGUGGACACGGCUAUACGAAUAGUUUUACACUCUGCAGAGGUUGCACACUGUACCCACAAGAUCCGGGGGAUUUCCAUGUCAUCCACGACCCGCGGUACCUCAAGUACCCGGGGUAAGCACCCAAUCACUACCUUUCCCUAGACGACACUAACAUGGAGUCCACUCGAUUGGUAGUGACCCCCGUGCCCAACAUUUCACAUCUUAAAAUCGUGGAGCAUCGCUCCGAUAUUCAUCACAUACUGGCACGGGGUACCAACGGUGUGUCCGGUGCCCCAUAAAAAUGUUCUUGGCCGCCCUACUUGGCACGACCCCGUCCCGAGAGAGCGCACCAACAACUCUCCCGUCACUAGUAAUGCGGGCUCCAAGCUAGUAUCGGUCUAGGUAAUCAAUAAUGCCCUUUCCCAUAUAAGGGUAGAGUGGUUGCGCAUCUAAGGUUGGAAUAACGGUCGCAACUUAAACCAAUCCGUUUUUGAAAACAACAUACACACUUGCCUCGGUACACCACUUCAUCAUCAAGUGGCUACCCAACUCAUCAUCUCCCUCGGGCUUAAGUGGCACCCGUCGGGGUUUUUGAAAAGUCCUUUGAAAAUACUUUGUCUCCAUCACAUGCAUAUUCCCGUCCCUUUUUGCGUAGCAACUACUUAGCAUCCUAUCUACUCCCACCGGCAUAACCCUCAUAAGAAGGUAGGGUCAUGCACAAUGCAAGUAUCAACGAGGAAGUAACAGAGGCAACCAACCUAUGUGGUUCACCAUCUCAUCAUGAUUCCGAUGCAACAACAAAUAAGAGCUAUAUGGCAUGCACAAAAAGGGUUUCAUGGACAUGGUCAAAGGGCUGCUUGCCUGGUUCCUCAGAGUCUUGAAGUGUUCUGGUCCUUCUCCAAGUACUCCGUCUACUUCGUCAACUAACGUCGGAAACAAUCAUAAUAAGCAACACAACAAGGCAAAAAUGAAAGUGCUCUAAAAAUGUGAGUUGGACUUUUCUAUGAUACCUCUGGUCAUAUGAGGAGUGACCAAAGUGGUUUCAUUGGGAUUUGAUGAAUGGACAUCUCUGAACAUUUCAAUAUGAUGGAAUCAAGGGAUUUGUGGAUUUGCAAGAAGUGUACAGAAAUAUAUAUUUGAAAAAUGAGCAAAGGCACCCAUUUAACAAAGGAUGAUUUUAGAAGCAUCUAGGAAUUGGUUUCACUGGAUUUGGAGUUGAGAUGAUUUUCCUAUGAAUUUGCAAAGUUGGCUAUAUAUAAAGAAAUAGACCAUUGUUUGAGGUGAUACAGAAAGUAUUAGCAAAAAUGUUCAAAAACUAAGUUUUGAACUUAUAGACAUCUAGGAUUUUGAAUCAUGGAAUUUGGAUCAAAAAUGGGCUCUCUGUGAUUUUCUAAAGUUUAUCACAGAAAUAGAAAAAUGGGAUUUUGAUACAUAUUUGUGAAGG
This 8393-nucleotide long non-coding RNA is filed under the name Triticum aestivum (bread wheat). RNAcentral describes it as "long non-coding RNA (TAES_LNC027106)". The record is from RNAcentral. Lineage: Eukaryota; Viridiplantae; Streptophyta; Magnoliopsida; Poales; Poaceae.